GAUGAACGCUGGCGGCGUGCCUAAUACAUGCAAGUCGAGCGAACGUACGAGAAGCUUGCUUCUCUUAUGUUAGCGGCUGACGGGUUAGUAACACGUGGGUAACCUACCUAUAAGACUGGGAUAACUUCGGGAAACCGGAGCUAAUACCUGAUAAUAUUGUGAACCGCAUGGUUCAAAAGUGAAAGACGGUCUUGCUGUCACUUAUAGAUGGAUCCGCGCUGCAUUAGCUAGUUGGUAAGGUAACGGCUUACCAAGGCAACGAUGCAUAGCCGACCUGAGAGGGUGAUCGGCAACACUGGAACUGAGACAAGGUCCAGAAUCCUACGGGAGGCAGCGGUAGGGAAUCUUCCGCAAUGGGCGAACGCCUGACGGAGCAACGCCGCGUGAGUGAUGAAGGGCUUCGGAUCGUAAAACUAUGUUAUUAGGGAAGAACAUAUGUGUAAGUAAAUGUGCACAUCUUGACGGUACCUAAUCAGAAAGCCACGGCUAACUACGUG
RNAcentral lists this ribosomal RNA (497 nucleotides) under uncultured bacterium. Its description in RNAcentral is "partial 16S ribosomal RNA". It matches the Rfam family "Bacterial small subunit ribosomal RNA", at positions 28 to 507 of the family's 1533-position model. The record is from RNAcentral.